RNAcentral lists this ribosomal RNA (584 nucleotides) under uncultured bacterium. RNAcentral describes it as "partial 16S ribosomal RNA". It matches the Rfam family "Bacterial small subunit ribosomal RNA", at positions 355 to 1376 of the family's 1533-position model. The record is from RNAcentral.
UAAGGAAUAUUGGUCAAUGGACGCAAGUCUGAACCAGCCAUGCCGCGUGAAGGAUUAAGGUCCUCUGGAUUGUAAACUUCUUUUAUCUGGGACGAAAAAAGGCGAUUCUUCGUCACUUGACGGUACCAGAUGAAUAAGCACCGGCUAACUCCGUGCCAGCAGCCGCGGUAAUACGGAGGGUGCAAGCGUUAUCCGGAUUCACUGGGUUUAAAGGGUGCGUAGGCGGGGCAGGUAAGUCAGUGGUGAAAAUCCCUGGAGCUUAACUCCAGAACUGCCAUUGAUACUAUCUGUCUUGAAUAUUGUGGAGGUAAGCGGAAUAUGUCAUGUAGCGGUGAAAUGCUUAGAUAUGACAUAGAACACCUAUUGCGAAGGCAGCUUACUACGCAUAUAUUGACGCUGAGGCACGAAAGCGUGGGGAUCAAACAGGAUUAGAUACCCUGGUAGUCCACGCCCUAAACGAUGGAUACUCGACAUACGCGAUACACUGUGUGUGUCUGAGCGAAAGCAUUAAGUAUCCCCACCUGGGGAAGUACGACCGCAAGGUUGAAACUCAAAGGAAUUGACGGGGUCAUAGCUGUUUCCUG